GAUGAAGAAGGUAGCGAAAUGCGAUACUUGGUGUGAAUUGCAGAAUCCCGUGAACCAUCGAGUCUUUGAACGCAAGUUGCGCCCGAAGCCAUCAGGUUGAGGGCACGUCUGCCUGGGCGUCACAUAUCGUUGCCCAAUGCCUAUUGCAGUGCAAUAGGAAUUUCUAGGGCGAAUGAUGGCUUCCCGUGAGCGUUGUUGCCUCGCGGUUGGUUGAAAAUCGAGUCCUUGGUAGGGUGUGCCAUGGUAGAUGGUGGUCGAGUUAGAACGAUACCGAUCAUGUGCAUGCUCCCCAAAAUAUGGCCUCUAUGACCCACACGCGUCUUUUGACGCUCAUGACGAGACCUCAGGUCAGGCGGGGCUACCCGCUGAAUUUAAGCAUAUCAAUAAGCGGAGGA
Molecule: unclassified non-coding RNA, 395 nt
Filed under: soil metagenome
Description: partial contains 5.8S ribosomal RNA, internal transcribed spacer 2, and large subunit ribosomal RNA
Rfam family: 5.8S ribosomal RNA (bases 1-122)
Source: RNAcentral